GACCUGCUUAGGCAAAAAAUCGUGCAUCGUACAAAAUCGUUGUAACGAUGAUUGUAGGUUGUUCCGUAACGAUUCCUGAUUCUAAAUUGAUGUGGGGCCAAGACGGCAGCUCAAUAGUUCUCCGGUGAGCGGCCGUUAUGUCACUUUUAUUUCUAUGAUUUUUCAUUCGUAAACGGGAAGAGAUAUUAAUCUACUUCCAAAGGAUAAAUUUUAGAGAAAAGUCUGAAUUUUUUUUGGCGGAAUUUAUUUUUUGACAUUUGAAUCCAAAAUGACGGAAAAAAUUGGUCAAAGUCGAAAAAUAUUUUUUUCUCAAAGGAAAAUCCCUGAAACCUAUAGAAAGACUGAAAAUUCGCAAAAACUUUCUUCAGAAGGUUUAUAGAGAAUUUAAAGAGCUUCAUUUUCGUUUUUUAUUUAUUGAAAUCGGGCAGCUCAUUCCGGAGAUAUGUCUGUAACAAUCGGUUUUUUGGAUUU
Molecule: long non-coding RNA, 471 nt
Organism: Bradysia coprophila
Lineage: Eukaryota; Metazoa; Arthropoda; Insecta; Diptera; Sciaridae
Source: RefSeq, a predicted model, not a curated record